UGAAGGCAGCUGAUCUGUUUCGAAUCCUGUGUGUCCGGAGAGGCCAACGCUUUCAUUAGCCAGCAGGAAUGGGCUGGGGCGCGUUUGUAGUUGGGAAUCCUGAGCCCGGGCUGUUGCUUGGAGGACUCGGGAGCAGCAGUGGAUUUCGGCGUUACCAGGAGAGCUAUGUAUAGGAAUGCCGCUAUGGAAAGACAUCCAGGACACCUUGUUAAGUGAAAAAAGGUUCAGUAUCUGAACACUUUUGCUAAAGGUCUCUGGAAAGCUCCCUGUGUUAAUUCUCGAUGAGACUACGUCUGUGCCGGCCGCUUCCUGAGCCUCCUUCCAUGUGCAUAGGCCUGCUGCAUGCUGGAGACCUGCGGCACAGCUGCCAAGUGCCCCGUGUGGUUCUGUGAUCUUGGGACAGUCACUUCCUCUCUGUGGUUGUCAGUCUUCUCAUCCCUAAGCACUCAAGAAGCCCUUCCUUCUCUGGCUGUCAAGUCUGGACUCAUCUCUUGUCUUACACACGGACAGUUGUUUUAAGGAAAAGCCCCUGGUUGGACUUGCAGAUUGGGCACAGCCCUGGACGUAUACUACAGAUGGAAUAAAAAGGCCUACCUCAUUGGGCUCGUGUGGGUGAGGAGAACUGAAGAGUCUGAGAGCGCGGCACGAGCCAGAGGCUACGGAAAACACUGCCCUCCUACACUCCACCUUGGAGAGACCCAGAAAAGAACAAGCUUCAUUUGUAAAAAAGGAAAACAACUCAGGCAAUGGGGGUGGCUUAAAGGCACUCUACAGUGUGCAGAUGCCUUCCACUUCUUCCAUCUGCCCUGUCUCUCCAAGAACCCCUAUGGCCCCGGUCUCAGAACAGAGCUGAGUGCAGAAAUGAAAAUCUAUGGCUCUGUGUUCCAAAACGAUGAAGAAUUUCAAGAUGGUGGCAGUGGUAAAAUCUUUCUCCAGGAAAAAUCUGUCCUUGGCCCAAUGUGUAAACACUUGCUGAGUAUUGUGAAACCAGCAACUUGUUCACAAUUCUUCUGAAUUUCUUGGGAAAUUUGAAGUGGAGUACCUGUACCAACAUGAAAUGACACGAAUUUAAGUGACGCUCAACAACGAAAAGCAAAAAGAACCAAAGAGGAAGCAACUGAAACAACAUCUGGAUGUAUUUAAAAAUAUACAAUGCCUCCAAAAUCAGGUGUCAUUAAUGAAAAUUCUGAAGAAAUGCCACCGGACAUAGCCAACGCACCUACGCUGUUGUUAUUCAUUUCCUGCUUUUCACAGAAAACAAUUUUGUUGCAUGGAAGAUCGUGAACUUCAAAGGGCAGAGGGGAAACUGUCCCUUGGCCUCUACCCCUCCAAGGCCCCACUUUUUUGUCAACACUCCUUGGACGCAGCAGAAGUAUGAACAUAAUAUGGUCCUGAAUGAGGCUGAGUCUUUGGGCGCAGAAGACCCGGGUUAAUAAAAAUAGGAAGGUAAGAAAAGAAAAGAAAAAUCAAGACACAUCAUAGGACUAAAUUCCUAUUAUUUAUCCACUCAGGAUUGACCACCCCUUUGGGCCAGAUAGUUGUACCCCCAUGUACCAGGUGGGCACAUGAAGACACAAGAAGUGCUGUGAUGGUUCAUUUUGCACGUCACCUUGCGUGGAGUAUGCCAACUCAUUGUUUGGUCAAACACUAGUCUGGACAUGGUGGUAAAGGUAUUUUUUAGAUGAGAUUAACACUUAAAUCAGUAAAGCAGGUUACCCACCAUACUACGGGUGGGCCCUGUCCAAUCAGUUGAAGGCAUUAAGAACAAAGAUUGAGGUUUCCUAAAGAAGAUGGAAUUCUCCUUGAGACUACAACAUAGAAACCCUAUCUGAGUUUCCAGCCUGUUGCCCUGUGGAAUUCAAACUCAGGACUCCGGUCUAUGACAUUAACCCUCACUUAACUUUUCAGCCUGCCAGCCUGCCCUAUGGAUUUCGGACUUGCCAGCC
Homo sapiens (human) is the source of this 1946-nucleotide long non-coding RNA. Ensembl annotates it as downregulated RNA in cancer, inhibitor of cell invasion and migration. Its record names the gene DRAIC. Lineage: Eukaryota; Metazoa; Chordata; Mammalia; Primates; Hominidae. The record is from Ensembl.